CUCUGGACUAGAGGGCGGGCGGGGCUGGAUUGUUCUCCAAGCCCAGCCCCUUCCCUGGGCCCUAGCAGGCUCCGCCCGCCCGCACAACCUUCAGGAUUGGUGGAAGGAGGAAGGCCUCAGACUCCUCCCUUCCUGCCAGGAGGAGGAAACCUGGUUUCCAUAGCAACCCAGAAACACUCCAGGCCUCUUUCAAUUUAAGGCUUCUCUGUGACCCUCUCUGGGGCACCUACUCUUAGAGACUCCUUUCUCUGGCCCCCACUUCCGAUUGGGGCGGAGGGCUCUUAUACAGGUUAGAGGUGGGGACCACAGAGCCUCUCUCAUUAGCCUUACAGUGAUCCGUUCCAAGUGGAAGGGGAAAGGUGACUUUCAGGGCAAAGGGCUUCCAGGCGUCCUCUGACCUCCGCCUCCUGAAGCUGCAGAGCUGGGCCGAAAGAGAGCGUCUGCUGUAAGCAGGGUCCAGGCUCGCUCUCUAAGGGCGAGCAGAGGUCAGGAGGGAGACGGGCUCCUUUGUGGCCCUUGCCCACUCGGGUCCCAGCCUCCUCGACCCCAAGUCCACUGGCACGGAGGCCCGGGAAUGGAGAUACAGAACAUUAACUGAGGAUGGGGAGCUGAUGGCCUGGUUCCUCCUGACUUCUCCAUGAAUGGUUCCAGGGACUUCUAUUUUCCCAGCUCCUCGGAGGACAUGAUGAGGGUGCUUCAGCCCCUUUGGCCUCUGUCCAAGGUACCCAGGCCCCUGGGACUACAGUCAGGGGCAUGAAUGGUUUUCCUGACCCACCUGGUGUGACCUCCAGCGCAGCCUCCUGUCACCCCGAUCCAGAGAGGAUGGAGAAGGCGCAUCUGCCCACCUGGCCUGUGAAUGGGGAGGGCAUUAGUGCUUUCAAACACCUGUGGUUCUGCACCAUUCCCAGCCUGCCCAGGCCUUUCAGCCAGCCCCAGCCCCUUGCUGCUCCUCUCUGGUCCCAGGUACCUGCUCUAGGGUGGACAGCACCGAGAGGGCCAGCCCCCUGCAUCCCUUGGAAUCCACAACAGACACACAGAGAUGAGAGAGCCAGAGUGAGGAGUGUGAGAGAUCCCAGCCUAUGCUGUUCUGGGAGAGGGAGCCGGCUGCCUGCACACAGAACGGGAUUGCCAGCCAGGAGAACUGCCCUGGCCCAGUUCUCCACCAGCAGCCCUCAGUGCUUCAAAGAAGGCAGCGGUCCUUGGAGGGGUCUCUCCAGCUGUGCUCGGGGACACAAGGGCCUUCUCACCCCACGGGCUGUGGAGUGGGCUGAAGAUCGAACAGCAAGCAAGCAGACUCGGGGCGACUCAGGGAAGGGCAGCGUGAGGCUGGGACCGGAGAGGCAGAUCCUGCUCCUCCCCAGGGCCGGGGGUAUGAAGUGGUCCACUAGGACAGAGAAGACAGUUUUUGGGGUGGGAAGAGGGUGUGGUGGCCUGGAGUGGGACAGUUUCCACUGGCUGCCUCCAAGCUCUGUAUCUUUGCUCCUACCCCAACUUUGUGUCACGAAGCUUGGAACAGAGUCUUGAAUAUUUUGAGGAAAGAGGAGGGUGCUAAGAAAGACCACCUUUGGCAACCUGGCAGGAAGCUCCUGUCGCCUCACUCUUCCUUCCUUCCCCCAAGCAGGUAAACAGGAAGGGAAGGAAGGGGUGGGGAAAGUGGUGGCUGAAAGCUGUCUUUCUGUCCAGGUACCAAAGCCACAAGAGCCAGAGUGGCUCUGACUAAGAGAUGCAGGGCCAGGUAUCCUGGGAACUCCACCUUCAGGGCCUUGCAUCUCAAUUCCGUCUGUUCUAGGCUUAGACAUGGAGAAGAGGUAGAAGAUCACUUCUCAUUACACUUUUUGGUGUAACUUUCUCUAAUGGCUUAAUUUACAGCAGACAAACUUGGGCUAAGAGUUCCAAAAGCGUUCACUAUUUAGUCUUGGUUGGGGAUUUAUUUCUGGUGAAGGAGUCAUUUCCUUCCCUGUGAACCUUAGAGGCCAUGACAAAAUCCCACGGAGCAGGGCUGCAGGAAUUCCAUCUACUUGGAAGCCUGGGGACGGAUGAGACAGCCCUGGACUGGUGGUGUGAAGGAAAUGUCCCCCAGUAAUGCUCCACAGGCUGCACCUGCCUGACUCCUCUACCUUGCUUUUUUUUAGUGCUGAGGACCACACUCCGGGCCUUGGCCAUGCCGCUUCUAAGACUCGAGGGUCCGAGAUGUGAGACGUCAGCCGGUGGCCGAUAAGAUCCUGCUUGCCCUCCUCAUCUGACUUUCCUCCCUCCACACCUACAUGCUUCUCCUUUUCCUAUUUCCAGGAACUUUCCAAAUGCAGGAACACAGAGCAACUGCAGGACAGGAUUCCACCAAAUUCCCCUCUCUGGCUCUUGGUUUCCACAUCUGUAAAGUAAAGGGUCGGGCAAGAUGAACGCCACGUUGGCUUCCUUGCAGCAGUGAGGUUCCAUGGUCCAGACCCCAAGGCACCACACUCAUUUGUACAUAACCUCCAGGACACUUUCUUCACGUCAGGACAGAGGAACCACUCUGCUCUCAACUCUGCCCUCCAGUCACCUCACCAGUCUUUGGGUCCAUGGCCCCUCGCGCUUGUCCCUCUUUCUUCAGGAACCUCAGACCUCCGUUCCCAACUUCCUUUCACAAGUUUACCACAUUCCUUGGGCUAAGCCGACUGGACAAAACACCAAGAAACCACCUUACCUACUACCCUGGCUGUGAUUUCGGGCUCCAGGCCCAAGUCAACUGCUUUGGGAGGUCCUGGCCACUGGAGGAAAUGCUGGCACCUCUCCCCAGCACCUCCCCUGCUCCUCCACCUCACUGUUCUCCAUGCCAGCACGAAAAGUGGCCAGUGAUUGAUGGGCCUGGGUUCCCGGUAACCGCACCCAGUGGCCCAAUCCUCCUCCCUUCCUCAAUCCCUCCCCUGCCCCUAUUCAGAGCUCAGAUUGUCUCAUGUUGGUCCCUGAGGUCCCAUUAAUUAAAAAUACAUCCAAUUAAAUGGC
This 2985-nucleotide long non-coding RNA is filed under the name Heterocephalus glaber (naked mole-rat). RNAcentral's name for it is "lncRNA (ENSHGLG00000037881.1)". Lineage: Eukaryota; Metazoa; Chordata; Mammalia; Rodentia; Bathyergidae. The record is from RNAcentral.